CAGGGUUCAGCUCAUGAAUUGGAAAAGCGCACAUGUACUUUGGAAGAGAAUGCCGCAGCUUAGCCCCCAGGGAACAACUGGGAUGCUAUUCAUAGAAAAGCCUGCUAUUUGCAUCUGCCUGGCAUUUGAAUUGAGCUCACCUAACUGCCUUCCUCACAGAUUUUCACAGGAGAAGCAAGCAGAAAAGCGAAGUUUGAACAGACGAGGAGGCAUAGCAGUGCCAAAGAAGGGACAAAGGAAGAAAAGGCAGCCUUGGGAGCGGGGAGGGCACCAUACUCCCUUCCUUAGGCUGCCACCACCAGGCUGAGCUCCAGAGUGACCGGAGAAGUCCCUUCAUCUCCCAGGUGAUGGGAAAGUGGUCUUCUGCUAUCAGAGGGGAAGAAUCUGGAACGGUUCCUAACUUAAUCUUCCACAUACUGGGGCUAUUCCUUGGGUAGGAAAUUUUAUGGUUUUAUUCCUGGAAUUGGUGACCUAUGGUGAAAUUCCUGGGACUGAUGACUUUUGGACUUUUAAAGUUCCUAGUCCUUUCAAAAGCUCCAACAGUGGCUUCUCCAACCACCGGCUAUUCUCCAGCGAGUAAAGGGACCUCAGGAGCUGAGAAAACACUGACGGGAGAGAGGCUAGGGACUGGCGCAAGACCAGGACAGCCACCAGAGUGAGUGCCAGGAAAAGCUAAAUGAGAUAAGCUCGGAGACUAGAUAAGGACAGUCUGUACAGAACAUGAGCCCGGGGAGCAGGCUCAUGUCCAUCCUCCCAACAUGCAGAGCAGAGAAUCCUCAGAUGCCUUGUUUGUGUCUUGGUUUGAGAAGAGCACAGCACAGCUGUAUCCCCGGUCAUCAGAACAAGUGCGCCAUGGAGGAAAAGGAAGCGGUGGACAGAAGGGAGAGGCUGCCACAGUGACAGAAGCGGACGAGUCACAAGGCAUGGAGGAGUCCUGCUCCUCCAUUCCUCAGUGGCUGAGAAGGUUCCCAGCCUGCCCCGCCCUCUCUCAGCCUGCCUGCCCCACCCCCUUUUACCUUGCCUCUGUGAGUGGCCCCACACUCCCCCGGAACACAGAGUCCUCUGUGGCUAGACUCUGGGAGGGCUAAACGGCCAACGGACUUUGUGCGAGAUCCAAGCUGCAUGUGUGAGAAGGAGAGGGAGGUCAAAGAUGGAAAGGGUGGGAGGGGCACACUGUUACGGGCUCCCUCUCAUGCAUUUGGGGCCUGACCUCCAGGAAAACAGCACAACACAAAACAAAAAGAAGCAAAAAGCAAAGGGAGCAAGGUUUGGAAAUGGAAUGACCCCCAAUCCUGUCUGUGGGCCUGGACUAGCCCUGACCUUGCUCUAGACCCCUGUCUUCCAUGGCCAUGCCUACAGCAAUAGCCACAAUGUCAGGUGGACACUAUAGAAGGACUGAAACACACACACACACACACAGAGAGAGAGAGAAAGAGAGAGAGAGAGAGAGAGAGAGAGAGCCCUUUUGCCCAGUGUAGUUGAGAGAAUGGGACAAGGGAUUUUUGCAUAUUUAGUCCAUGACAGCCCAGGACAAACUGGCAUAACUGGUCACUCCAGGAAAAAAUGGGCACCACAGAGACCAUGGAGGUAGCUAGCAUGUGGUAUGGCUGUGACAGCAGAUGAGAAUGAAAAAUGUCUUCCUGGAGCCUGGAAAUCCCUCCUGCAUUUAGCUCCCUUUUUGACCAACCGGGUGCCUGUCCCUCUGAUGGCUGACGCUGAGCUCAGGAUGAGCCGUGUGUGUGUGUGUGUGUGUGUGUGUGUGUGUGUGUGUGUGUGUGUGUGUGUGUUUUCCCCACUAUUUGCUGCAGUGGCUCUCAUUCUGUCAGGCUGCUGGGACCUGUUCUCCUAGGCUCCAGGAGGUGAAGGUCAGCUGAGGACAGGCUGAUUAGCUUGCCCUGUGGGGCCUUUCUCUUGGUGACACAGCCUCUGGCUCAGAACAAAGGCCCCUCAUUAGGCUGGGAGAGAGGCACGCCUUUGACCAUGAGAGUGCUGCCAUCUGCCGUCCGCAUGGAGGUCCUCCUGCUUGGAGUCCUGCACGGCCUGCCUUGCCCCAUCCCCAGCCCACUGCGAUGCAGACCCCGUGAGAGGUAUAAGGAAGAGCUCUGGAAGGCUGGCAAUGCAGGCCCAGAGCACAGCUUGUUGAGGCCAUAGGGUCCUAGGAUUUGGACCCAGACUGACGCUUUUAGCUGUCAUGGAGUUCCCAGGCCCAGGGAUCCACUGGUGACUGCUCAGUGCAGUCAAUUAUUAAGUAUUCAGGAAUUUUACAGGUUGCAUUGUCAGCUGGAAAUGGGUCUCAGCAGCAGUAUUUACAUGAUGGAAGUUGGCAUAGGCCCCAAGUCAGAGCUUUCCCCAACUCCCAAACCCCUGCAUCUCAUUUGUCAACACUGCAAAAAGCCCUGUAAACCUCCAAACAGGCUGAGGGCAGGAGAGGCUCAACAGUAGAAGGUUUGCUUGCCCAAGGCCCUCAGUUGACUCCAGAAAUAAACAGAAAAAUGACACCCCUGUUGGCAGGUGUGUCCUUAGAUGACCACCAGAUGUGGCACUCAUACCACAGGAAAAGCAGAGAUAGAUUCUGACAGGAGGGAGGCACCUCUACCCUGAUAAGAGGGAAUUUGCAAGGAAGAAACUUCAUCAUGAAGAAUCAACUCCCAUGCACUCGAGGGCUGUGGGACAGAAGGCAGCGAAAAUGCAUCAACAGUUAUCCUGAAUCUGAUGGUGGCACCGCGUGAAUGGCCACACCUGGUCGGCUCUCAGGUCCCCUGACUUGUGUGGUGGCAUCCAAGGGAUUCGCUGAAGGGCUAGGACAUUACCAGGCACGAAGCGUGCACUUAGCGCCCGUUAGAUGUUAUCAGUCAUUGAUUGGAGCCUCAGCAGCUCUGGAAGCAGAGCUUGCCAGCUCCCUCCCAAAACCAGUGUCAUGUCUCGUGGGGUAACACACGCCUUUGAUCCCAGCACUCAAGAAGCAGAAGCAGAAGCAGAACUCUGUGAGUUUAAGACCAGCCUGGUCUCCAUAGUGGGUUCCAGAAUAGCCAGGGCUACACUGUGAGAGCCUGUCUCAAAAACAAAACAAAACAAAACAAAACAAAAACAACUAAAAUAAAAGUAAAGUCAGUGUUUA
Molecule: long non-coding RNA, 3118 nt
Organism: Meriones unguiculatus (Mongolian gerbil)
Lineage: Eukaryota; Metazoa; Chordata; Mammalia; Rodentia; Muridae
Exons: 4
Source: RefSeq, a predicted model, not a curated record